CCUACGGGUGGCAGCAGUGAGGAAUAUUGGUCAAUGGACGAGAGUCUGAACCAGCCAAGUAGCGUGAAGGAUGACUGCCCUAUGGGUUGUAAACUUCUUUUAUAAAGGAAUACAACGAGGCACGUGUGCCUUUUUGCAUGUACUUUAUGAAUAAGGCUCGGCUAACUCUGUGCCAGCAGCCGCGGUAAUACGGAGGAUCCGAGCGUUAUCCGGAUUUAUUGGGUGUAAAGGGAGCGUAGAUGGCUUGUUAAGUCAGUUGUGAAAGUUUGCGGCUCAACCGUAAAAUUGCAAUGGAUACUGGCAGUCUUGAGUACAGUUGAGGUAGGCGGAAUUCGUGGUGUAGCGGUGAAAUGCUUAGAUAUCACGAAGAACCCCGAUUGCGAAGGCAGCUUACUAAACUGUGACUGACAUUGAUGCUCGAAAGUGUGGGUAGCAAACAGGAUUAGAUACCCCAGUAGUC
RNAcentral lists this ribosomal RNA (460 nucleotides) under uncultured bacterium. Its description in RNAcentral is "partial 16S ribosomal RNA". It matches the Rfam family "Bacterial small subunit ribosomal RNA", at positions 338 to 795 of the family's 1533-position model. The record is from RNAcentral.